GCAAGAUAAAGCCUGUUGAUUUUUCAAUUCUUGUAGUUUUCCUAAGCUUGCAGGCCUUCAGAUUUAGAGUGGAACUAUACCAUCAUCUCUCCUGUGUCUCCAGCUUUCCAUGUGACCAUAGAACCUCUCAGACUCCAUAAUCAUAGAAAACUCCAAGUAUUUUUUGCAAGGAAAAGUUGAUGAUACUGAUGAUGAUGGUGAUGGUGAUGGUGGUACUGAUUAGAGUGCUGAUGGUAGUAGUCCUGUAACUUGAACAAGGUUACAGGACAAGUAGAAUAUGGCAGAGAUGGAAUUUGAACUCAAGCAAUCAAAUUCAAAAGACUAUACUCUAAAGCAAUGGCACUCAGGGAGUGAUCCAUCAGUGCCUGUGCACAACAAGGUCCACAACCUGGCAUUUAGUGGUAGGCCUGGAGCUGCUCUUGGUCAACAGUGUCAGAAGUUGGGAAGAAGAGCUGCAUAUCAAGCAGAAGAGAAUGAGAAGAAACAGGAACCCACUUCUGCAUCUGUCUAUAGCAACAUCUGACUAUAACGACCUUCAAAAGAUAAUGGCUGUUGCUUCAUUUCCAACCCUCCAAAUCUCAAGUAGCCUUGUGAUUACAUUGGGCUUACCCAGAUCCAGGUCAUCUAGGAUAAUCUCUCUACCCAAGAUCUUUAACGUAAUCACACCUGCAAAGUCCCUUUUGCGAAGAAAGGUUGUAGAGAAGGUACUGUUCCCAUUGAAAUCAGUAACGGCCAUGUGACCUGAUUUGACUCAUGAAAUUGUGGACUUUUUCAUAGUCUCAAUGGGAUGUUUAUCUAAAAUGCAUACAUUCCUAAAUGAAGAGUGCCCUUGUCUUCACUGUAUAUUGUGUUAUUGUUAGAACUUUCAAACAUGCUAAAGAAGCUGAUAAGUCUAAGUUCACAUCAACAAUUACAUUAUUCAACGACCUGAGAGAAGUGAAGCCAGGUUGAGUGUAGUCCCAGUAGAGAGAUGUUUUCUGUGUUCUCUUUCUUUUGUGUUUAGUAAAGGUACUUCACCAGAGGUCAAUUUUCUGUACCAAUUUCUGUUUGGCUGGAGCAGAUUCCAGCUGUGUCUGUGCUUGGUCUCCCACCUGAUGCCACCACAUCAAAGGGAAGCCCAUAUUACACUGGAAACAAGGCCCUGCUUCCCUGCUGAGUUUUGUGUUUUGUGACGUUCCCAAGCAAAAUUCGAAAUCUUCCUGUUUCAAUUUUUGUAAUGUUUAUCAUUAAAAUAAUACUCUCACAUGUGAAUAAAUCAAAUACUAAGAUUAGCCUAUCCUAAUUUCUAUACCUCCUACCCCCAUACGUGUUUAAACCUGUAGUCCCACUCUCCAGGAGAAACCUCUUUUUUUUUAAUUGGUAAUAUAGGUGUUAAUUUUUGAUAUUUUAAAUAUCUCAAAUAAAGAAAAAGAAAGAAAUAAAGU
RNAcentral lists this long non-coding RNA (1424 nucleotides) under Homo sapiens (human). RNAcentral describes it as "HSALNT0124591". The record is from RNAcentral. Lineage: Eukaryota; Metazoa; Chordata; Mammalia; Primates; Hominidae.